AUCCUUUUGAGGUUCAAAAGCAUGAUGAAUGGAAGUUCAGGUGACUGUAUGACAUGCGUCUCCCUCAAAUCUUGUUACUACAUUGGCACAGUACCUGUCUGACA
Small nucleolar RNA from Sorex araneus (European shrew), 104 nucleotides. NCBI's taxonomy places the organism in Eukaryota, Metazoa, Chordata, Mammalia, Eulipotyphla, Soricidae. The record is from Ensembl.